RNAcentral lists this ribosomal RNA (253 nucleotides) under uncultured bacterium. RNAcentral describes it as "partial 16S ribosomal RNA". It matches the Rfam family "Bacterial small subunit ribosomal RNA", at positions 524 to 776 of the family's 1533-position model. The record is from RNAcentral.
UACAGAGGGGGCAAGCGUUGUUCGGAAUUACUGGGCGUAAAGGGCGCGUAGGCGGCCUUCUAAGUCGAACGUGAAAUCCCCGGGCUCAACCCGGGAACUGCGUCCGAUACUGGAAGGCUUGAAUCCGGGAGAGGGAUGCGGAAUUCCAGGUGUAGCGGUGAAAUGCGUAGAGAUCUGGAGGAACACCGAUGGCGAAGGCAGCCCCCUGGGCUAACACUGACGCUCAUGCACGAAAGCGUGGGGAGCAAACAGG